GUAGCGGAGGCGGCGACCGCUCGACGGACGGGGGUUCGAUUCCCCCCAGCUCCACCA
RNAcentral lists this transfer RNA (57 nucleotides) under bacterium. Its description in RNAcentral is "tRNA-OTHER". The record is from RNAcentral.